CUGAAUGGGGCAACCCACUAUAUUGAAGGUAUAGUAUCCCGCAAGGGAAGUGAACCCGGUGAACUGAAACAUCUAAGUAGCCGGAGGAAGAGAAAACAAAAGUGAUUCCGGGAGUAGUGGCGAGCGAAACCGGAUUAGCCCAAACCAGUGUUGUUUCGGCAAUACUGGGGUUGUAGGACCACGACAUUGAUUGCGUAAUGAAUUAGAACACUUUGGAAAGAGUGACCGAAGAGGGUGAUAGUCCCGUACAAGUAAAGAGCGUUAAUUAUAGUGGUAUCCUGAGUAGUGCGGGGCACGUGAAACCCUGUAUGAAUCAAGCGGGACCAUCCGUUAAGGCUAAAUACUCCGAGAGACCGA
RNAcentral lists this ribosomal RNA (357 nucleotides) under uncultured bacterium. Its description in RNAcentral is "bacterial LSU rRNA". It matches the Rfam family "Bacterial large subunit ribosomal RNA", at positions 114 to 487 of the family's 2925-position model. The record is from RNAcentral.